Molecule: ribosomal RNA, 484 nt
Filed under: uncultured bacterium
Lineage: Bacteria
Description: partial 16S ribosomal RNA
Rfam family: Bacterial small subunit ribosomal RNA
Source: RNAcentral
AUUGAACGCUGGCGGUAGGCCUAACACAUGCAAGUCGAACGGCAGCACAGUAAUUGCUCCUGCAUACAGCGGCGGACUGGCGGAUGAUUCCUGGAAAUAUGCCUGGCAGCGUGUGCUAACGUGCUAAAGCAGGCGCUAAUACCGCAUACGCGCAGACGGCCUACGGGGGAGAGCUUCGGAUCUUCCGCUCUCACAUGAUCCUAUGUCGGAUUAGCUAGUUGGUGGGGUAAAGGCCUACCAAGGCGACGAUCCGUAGCUGGUCUGAGAGGAUGAUCAGCCACACUGGAACUGAGACACGGUCCAGACUCCUACGGGAGGCAGCAGUGGGGAAUAUUGGACAAUGGGCGAAAGCCUGAUCCAGCCAUGCCGCGUGUGUGAAGAAGGUCUUCGGAUUGUAAAGCCCUUUUAGUUGGGAGGAAGGGCAGUAGGUUAAUACCUCGCUGUUCUGACGUUACCAACAGAAUAAGCACCGGCUAACUUCGUG